RNAcentral lists this ribosomal RNA (253 nucleotides) under uncultured bacterium. RNAcentral's name for it is "partial 16S ribosomal RNA". It matches the Rfam family "Bacterial small subunit ribosomal RNA", at positions 524 to 776 of the family's 1533-position model. The record is from RNAcentral.
UACGUAGGGGGCGAGCGUUGUCCGGAGUUACUGGGCGUAAAGGGCAUGCAGGCGGUCGGACGCGUUUCGGGUGACAGCGGGUGGCUUAACUACCCGAGUGGUCGAAAGACGGUUUGACUUGAGGACGCGAGAGGGACACGGAAUUCCGGGUGGAGUGGUGAAAUGCGUAGAGAUCAUGAGGAAGACCAGUGGCGAAGGCGGGUCUCUGGACAGUUCCUGACACUGAGACACGAAGGCUAGGGGAGCAAACGGG